CCAACGGGAGGCAGCAGUGGGGAAUAUUGCGCAAUGGGCGAAAGCCUGACGCAGCAACGCCGUGUGAGGGAUGAAGGCUUUCGGGUCGUAAACCUCUGUCGGAAGGGAAGAACGGGCAUUGGUCUAAUAGGCCUUUGUUUUGACGGUACCUUUAGAGGAAGCACCGGCUAACUCCGUGCCAGCAGCCGCGGUAAUACGGAGGGUGCAAGCGUUAUUCGGAAUUACUGGGCGUAAAGCGCACGUAGGCCGUUUUGUAAGUCAGGGGUGAAAUCCCACGGCUCAACCGUGGAACUGCCUUUGAAACUGCAGAACUUGAAUCCUGGAGAGGGUGGCGGAAUUCCUGGUGUAGGAGUGAAAGCCGUAGAUAUCAGGAGGAACACCGGUGGCGAAGGCGGCCACCUGGACAGGCAUUGACGCUGAGGUGCGAAAGUGUGGGGAGCAAACA
RNAcentral lists this ribosomal RNA (445 nucleotides) under uncultured prokaryote. Its description in RNAcentral is "bacterial SSU rRNA". It matches the Rfam family "Bacterial small subunit ribosomal RNA", at positions 338 to 774 of the family's 1533-position model. The record is from RNAcentral.